GUGAAAGUAGGGCAGCCUUGGCCCUCCUGAAGAGAGGAAGGAAAUUAGUGGCAGGUGGACUGUUGGAAUGGCAUUUUCAGAUGCCUUCACCUGGGUGAGAAAUCUGUCUCCAUCAGGACCUCAGAUGUCUGACAGCCCUGUGUAACACAUGUAAUAUAUCCAGUACUUCAGCAGCUGUGAUUUGUCUUAGCCAUCCUUGUAUCCCCACCCUUGUACACUGUUGUCUUU
Long non-coding RNA from Condylura cristata (star-nosed mole), 228 nucleotides. RefSeq lists it as uncharacterized. The transcript has 3 exons. The record is from RefSeq and is a predicted model, not a curated record. Lineage: Eukaryota; Metazoa; Chordata; Mammalia; Eulipotyphla; Talpidae.